RNAcentral lists this long non-coding RNA (5081 nucleotides) under Cricetulus griseus (Chinese hamster). Its description in RNAcentral is "lncRNA (ENSCGRG00015011058.2)". Lineage: Eukaryota; Metazoa; Chordata; Mammalia; Rodentia; Cricetidae. The record is from RNAcentral.
UGAAAAAAUGUUUUCUUAUGUGUGUAUGUUUUUAUUUUUUUACCUUCUUGUAUGUCUAUGCACGACAUAAUGCAGUACCGGAAGAGGCCAGAAGAGGGCUCCUGGUCUCCUGGAGCAGGAGGUGAAUACACUUGCGGGCAGCCAGGGUGCUGCAAAUUGAACCGAGUCCCCUAGAAGCUCAACCAGUGCUGUUAACCCUUGAGCCAACUCUCUAGCCCACCCAAAUCUCUAUAAAUACUUAAGUACAUAAGCUGGAGCUGGAGAAUCACAACAGAGUGACACCCAAAUCCUUGGGAAAAUAGCAGAUGGGGCAGUGUUCUGCGGGAGCCAGCCCAAAGACCCACUGAGUAGGACAGGGGACACAGAGGGAAGCUGGGGCCUCCCUCAUCCUUAGGGAGCUCCCUGCCCAGGCUGGGCCCUCUGCUCCCAGUUAACUCGCACUCUUCCAGCCUAGGGUACCUAGGAUAUUGCCAUCGUUAACCGGUUACCAGGUCCCCUCCCCGCCGGGAGAAGAAGCUCACUUCUGUCUUCCCAGGGCGGGUGCCAAGGCACUGUGGGCUCAGCAGCAGUGAGACAGACAAGAAAAGCGAGAAUGCCGUGUUUCAGCAGGAGUGGAACUCCCAAGUUCCCUCAACAAGCCAGUGAUGGGAGCAGUUCUGGCUCCUGGCCAAGUCAGAGGUCCUCAGAAGUGGGGGAGAGGCUGGCAGAGAAAAUCCGCACUACUGCCCCUCAAUAGAUCACACAAAGGGAGGGGUCAUCCUCACAAUUUGUCACUUUUGUUUCUAAAGUGAUGAGGUGAUGCCCCCAGGAGCCCAAAGAAACUCAGAUUUGUCCUCUGCUAUGGGGUGAGGCAUGCUUCAUCCCCUGCUCUACAAAACUCCUUUCCCCAGGCACUGGAGAGAUGGCUCAGCAGUUAAGAGCACUGUGGGCUGUUCUUUGAGAGGAACCAGGUUCAAUUCCCAGUGCCCACAUGAUAGUUCACAGCUGUCUGUAACCGCUGUUCAAGGGGAUCUGAUUCUCAAAUACAUACUUGCAGGCAAAACACCAAUGUAUAUAAGAUAAAAAUAAAUAAAUAAAGCCUUUCUCCAUAGAAGAGCUGCUCAGGGGGAGGGAGAUCCUCACCCCUGAGCUCCCCCAAGUCUCUCUCUGAAAGGGGUCCAUCAUCCCACUUAAUGUAAAUUUCACUCAAAUAAAUGGUCCUUAGAUUGUCCCCUUUCUCCCCUCUGUUUCUGCCUAUGGCUGCAUGUCCAGGACCAGGGUAGGCCCUGGAAGAAAAACCAGCCAGCCACCAAGUAACAAGAGGAAGACAAAAGAGCCCCAAGCAAGAAAAAAAAAAAAAAAAAAAAAAGGUAUGAAAAUAGGCUUAGCUACUUUGGGGUUUUCCUUUGUAUUUAUUUUUAGCAAGGAUUGUGUGCCUAACUCUGCAUUGAAAUAGCUGAUGCUACCUCAUUGUUCCCAGGGACCUGUGCGUAGCAACCUAGCAGGCUUCAGGGAAGGCAAUGGGUUUCCUGGCUCACCCAAGCUGAACCCAGAGCAUUUAUUUGACAGGGCCUUCUCCUCGUUGUACCUUUUGGGUGUGAAGGAAAACAACCCGAAGAAGGCUUCAGAGCUGAGGAGGCAGCCAUGCUUGUGGACUUUAGGUUCCAAAAGGCAUCUCCUGCUGACGGUUGAAAGUCCAGGAGAGGUCUCCACACCUGGCACUCCAAGGAGACAGAAAAGAGGCCACCCUCGAUGGGUCUCACACUCACUCCAUUUGGGACUUGGCCUUUCAGGAUUUUUUCUCAGGAGAAGGGCUAUGGGAAGACUUUCUAGUUGGCAAAUCCUAUCUUAAGAUACCAAAUCCUGAGCCGGGCAUUGGUGGCGCACGCCUUUAAUCCCAGCACAUGGGAGGCAAAGGCAGGCGGAUCUCUGUGAGUUCAAGGCCAGUCUGGUCUACAGAGCGAGUGCCAGGAUAGGCCCCAAAGCUACACAGAGAAACCGUCUCGAAACCCUCCCCCCCCCAAAAAAGAUACCAAAUUCUGUCACAGCAUCCCCUCAGGCCCACUGGUGUACAUGGAUCCUAGGCUACCAAGAGACCCUGAAGGUUGGAGGCUUGCGUGCGUGCGGAGGCAGGCGAGGAGCGGGUGUUGAGACACCUUUGUCCGUUCAUGUCUCAGCACUGGUGACCUGGUGGCUGGACAGGAAGGACACACAGAGGUGGACAGAGUCCCCGCACAGGGAGGAGAUCCUGGCUCACAGCGGGUCCCUGCGGUGGCUGACCACACCACGACCUCCAGCGCGCCAGUCCCUCGGCUGCUCGUGAGCUCCAGUUCCUCCGUCUGUGAUGGAGACAGUGGCCGUCGUGCAAGGUGGUGGCGAGGAGCCCGUAGGCUCUCAAAUAUCAAAUUUCUGCUGCAGCGCCCUGCGGCUGUGUUACCACAGCAAGGACUCCCUGGCCCAGCAGCAGUUGUGAUCAAAGCCACCCGCUCCUUCCCAGCUGCCAGGAAAGGACAGAUCCAUCAGAAACACCCGAACACAACAGCCGCCCACUCCCCUGACAGCGGCUGCGGUUCCCAGUCUCAGGUUUCACCGCUUCCGACAGGGGCACCUGUCCUGGAUAGUAGAGUCUUCUGCCCACCUGAAAGUCAGAAGCAAGAGGAUCGCCCAAAGUUAAGGAGAGCUAGUUUCCAGAGAUGCCUAGAACCAAGGUGGAGAGGUUACAUACCUACUGUGUCCCCUGAAGCUACCAUUGCCUCCCACCUGUCAUGCACCAUGUCCCCAGAGGAACCAGGAGUCAGGCUGAGCCGGUCCCAAACUGGGAGCUCCACCCAGUCUGCAUGGAAGAAUGCCUGUUGCUCCUGGACACAGACGGUGUGUGUGGCCGAAAGCAUGGGCUGCUCAGGUGCUGCUGGCCCUCUGAGUGGCACCACAUGUGGCUAUUUUGCUUCAUCUCCACUGUGCCUUUGUUUGCCGUCCCCCACUCCUGCUCUGUUCCCCUUUGAUGUCUCCUAAGGAGUCCAGUGAGCAGAGAUGGGUGGAACAUUCCAAGAGGAGUCAGGGGAAUCCGGCAGAGGCUCCUGGGCAGCAGGGGCCUUGGUGAGACAGGAGAAGGACCAAGACGGUCCAGGGCUGAGGAGUGAGGGUGGCCCUGAAGCAGUGGGGCAGUGUCCCACAUGAACUAAGAAGUUGCCCUGUCCCCAUACCCUCCAGCAUCCAGUUUCCAUGUCCAGGCAAGAACUGGCCUGUCUCUAAUGUGGCACUUAACCAGGCUGCACAGGCUUUGUUUACCCAGUGAGUACACACAGGCAUUUCCAUCUUCCACAGCUCCGACCUCUGACUAAUGGACAAGCGUUGGCCCAUCAGCUACAACUGGCAGUGACCCAUGUCACUUCUGGGUCAAAAGCAUCAGUGCUCUGUGCUCUGUCUUCCCAUGCCAGAGUGACCUAAUUGUCCACACGGUGGCUCUUCUGGGAGUCUAGAUCCCGGAGACACUGGGUAGGGCAGGGCCUUGCUCUCCGGGCUCCAUCCCCCUCAGUGGCCAUUCAGCGUGGUUGAAUGAUGACCAAAACUGAAUGUAGUCACUGUGAUCUGGACUUGCAGACCAGGUGCAGGGGCCUCCCCUCUCAGCAGUGUCCCCAUCCCCAUCACUCAGGGAGUAAACAGAGCAGGGCAGAUACAACAACAGAAGAUUGAAUUGGCUGGGACUUCCCAGAGUACAAGGCUCCACACCUCUGGGCCUGCUGCCCGGUGAGCUGAGCCGCCUGGGUGCGUGUCCUGCCAUGACUCAAGAGGAGACAGCACAGCCUGUGACAAGCAGGAGUAGACAGGAGGCAGGGAGCAGCAGUUGCUCCUCAGGGCAUUGGCCCUGUCUCAAGGCAGGAGAGUACAUGGGGCCUCAAGCCUGAAACAGCCUCCUUACUGAGCUGACCUGCCAGGCACUCCUGGUCACAUGACUUAAUAACCCAUAAUAAGGCUGGGUGUAGUUGCAAACCCCUUUAAUUACAGCACUUGGGAGAUUGCAAUAAAUCUGAGGCUGGCCUGUGCUUCCUAGUGCAUGUCUCAAAACAAACACAAAUAAAAACACAUCACACAGUCAGGCGUUGGUGGCGCACGUCUUAAGUCCCAGCACUCGGGAGGCAGAGGCAGGCAGAUCUAUGAGUUCGAGGCCAGCCUGGUCUACAGAGUGAGUUCCAGGACAGGCUCCAAAGCUACACAGAGAAACCCUGUCUCAGAAAACCAAUAACCAAAACCAAACCAAAAAAUUCACAGACAAACUCUGGCACACACAGACACAGGCAUACACCAAGAGACACGUGCCACGUAUUAAGAGAACAGUCUCUUUUCUGGUUGGUCCCCUUCCUCAUCUCUCUACUGCCCCCAUUACCCAGAUCUCUGUCUCCCCAACUCCCUGGUUGUCUGAAACCAAGACCUGUGUGAGUUUCCCUUCCAUCUUCACCUGCGCCUUUGUCCAGCCCUGACAUGGACUGUUGGGCUAGAGUCUCUCUUCUCCUUAUGUCCCUCCCCUCUCUCUGCAGACAAGGGACUGUCCCUUCCCCAGGUGGUGCUCCCACCCAGGGAGAUCAUUUGACAAAUGAAUGCAGGAAUCCUGCUGGGGGUUGGAAGAGGGAUGUCUUCUAGAUGGACUUGUUAGGGAAGGUUCUAAGAUGUGAGUGUGGGUGUGUGUGUGUGUUCAAGGCAGGGUCUCACUAUAUAGCUCUGGAUGGCCUGAAACUCUAUGGAGACCAGACUGGCCUCAAACUCACUGAGAUCCACCUGCCUCUACCUGCUGAUUGCUAGGAUUGAAGACACCUGUUACCACAUCUCGCUGAAACCUGGCUUUUGAACUGAGGUUCCCUGGAGUGGGGAGGCUUUGCCAGUUUGUUGCAGGCAGAGGGGAAACGCACCAGCUCUGAACAGAGCAGAGGUGCUAAGGGCACAGUAAUGACCCUGCAUAGAGUCCCACUUUUCUUCCUUUCCCUGCUUGGUCUCUGGUAAGUCCCUGAAUCCUUCUCUAACCAAGGUCAGGCUGUACCGGGUGUGGGCUCAGCUUUCACUCAUUCAACAACCCAGAAAGGCGGGUGUGAUGUGACAUUCUUCCCCUU